Molecule: long non-coding RNA, 1069 nt
Filed under: Homo sapiens (human)
Lineage: Eukaryota; Metazoa; Chordata; Mammalia; Primates; Hominidae
Description: HSALNT0130686
Source: RNAcentral
CUGGAGAUGGCCCUGGGCCGCAGCUCCCUCUCUAGAUGGGAUCCCGGGAGAGGGGCAGCGCUGGCUUGGGCUCUUGAAGGUGUGGGCCGCCGCCAGGCUCCGGCCGCCCGCUCGCGUUCCUCCCUCGGGACCCUCUGGCUGGCUGCGCACAGCUGCUUCCGGCUCCUGCCAUGGUUCUCCUUCUCUGGCCCAUCCGGCCUAGAGCAGUUGCAGAGUGGGCAGGAUCUUAAGACCCGAUAGGUGCAGAACCCAUCUGGACACGGAGACCAGGAAUGGAGUUCCAUGGAGGCCUGGCUGGCACUGCACCCGGGCAUGAGGACACAUCCAGUAAGAAGACCUGCCUCAAGAGGUGCACUGCGGUGACCAGUGGAGGUGACUGGUUGGAGCCUGGAAUUGGAAGCAGAUUCCAAGCUCUGGUGGACAAACUCUCCAGGCCUGGUGGGAAUCACAGCUGGGGCAGACCUCAUCCUGGCUGCCUGGCCACAGGCCCCCACUCUCUGCCACUGGUGGUAGGACGAUGCCUGUGUGGAGAGCUGGCUUCUCUGCUCCCGCCUGGUCCACCACUUGGCUAGAGUUCAGAGACAGGAAGUGAUUGGUCUAAGCUAACACAGCAAGUUGGUGGCAGACCUGGUUCUAGAGGCAAAACCUUCUUCCAGAUGUGAAUGAAACCUGCAGGCUUCAUUUUCCUUUCUGAGCAGUGCUUCUUAGCUCUUUGGAGACACGAAGCCCUUGGAAAAUCUGAUGAAGGUUACGGACCUUCCCUAGGAAAACAGAUAACUGACGUAGACUCAAAAACCCCAAGCAAUUUCAGGAGCCACUGGACUCCCUGAAUGAAACCCAUCCCUGGACUCCAGGCUAAGAACCUCAGCCCUGGGGACUUCACCUGCUGCCCUUUCCUUACCUGUCACACAUUGAGCCCCGAGUCAAGGCCACUGUACAAGUAGUGCCCCUCCCUCCCCCUGGCCAAGCCUCCUUCCCUUGUUCAGGAAUAAAGAAUUCCGAGGAGCCCUUUUUAGUCAUUCCCUUCUCCCAGACCUAACGAAUGGUGCGUCAGGUUUCUGGAGCCUCA